RNAcentral lists this ribosomal RNA (468 nucleotides) under uncultured bacterium. RNAcentral's name for it is "partial 16S ribosomal RNA". It matches the Rfam family "Bacterial small subunit ribosomal RNA", at positions 28 to 507 of the family's 1533-position model. The record is from RNAcentral.
GACGAACGCUGGCGGUGUGCUUAACACAUGCAAGUCGAACGGUAAGGCCCUUUCGGGGGUACACGAGUGGCGAACGGGUGAGUAACACGUGAGUAACCUGCCCUCAUCUCUGGGAUAACAGUCGGAAACGGUUGCUAAUACUGGAUAUGAGCUUGCAAGGCAUCUUGUGGGUUGGAAAGAUUUUUUUUGGUUGGGGAUGGACUCGCGGCCUAUCAGCUUGUUGGUGAGGUAGUGGCUCACCAAGGCUUCGACGGGUAGCCGGCCUGAGAGGGCGACCGGCCACAUUGGGACUGAGAUACGGCCCAAACUCCUACGGGAGGCAGCAGUGGGGAAUAUCGCACAAUGGACGGAAGUCUGAUGCAGCAACGCCGCGUGCGGGAUGACGGCCUUCGGGUUGUAAACCGCUUUCAAUUGUGACGAAGCUUUUUUGUGACGGUAGCAGUAGAAGAAGCACCGGCUAACUACGUG